RNAcentral lists this long non-coding RNA (2913 nucleotides) under Capra hircus (goat). RNAcentral's name for it is "lncRNA (ENSCHIG00000008226.1)". The record is from RNAcentral. Lineage: Eukaryota; Metazoa; Chordata; Mammalia; Artiodactyla; Bovidae.
AUGGUCAGGUUCUGUAGGCUGGGAGGAUUGCUUGCUUCUCUUCUACCUGUUGGUCUUAAAUUUGUACCUGUUUUAUCAGUUGAGGGAGAUGACUGGGUCAUGUCAAUGGCUGUUAACAGAAUGAAGUUUUUUAAUCCACAGAUCUUCAGGCUCAUCCUCCCUACAGCCCACAACCUGGAGCUGUAUGAGAACUGGCUGCUGUCAGGGAAACAGGGAGACAUCUUUCUGGAUGACCGGGUAUCAGAUUGCCAAUGCCUUGGGCUCAAGCAGGGCUAUACUUCCGUCAUUCCCUCAGGCUGGAUUCACGCUGUGUAUACGCCUGGAGACACAUUGGUGUUUGGAGGCAAUUUUUUGCAUAGCUUCAAUAUCCCCAUGCAGUUAAAAAUAUACAGCAUUGAAGAUCGAACACGGGUUCCUAAUAAGUUCCACUAUCCAUUCUACUAUGAGAUGUGUUGGUACGUGUUGGAGCGCUAUGUGUACUGCAUAACCAACCGCUCUCACCUACUAAGGAAUUUCAGAAAGAGUCCCUUAGUAUGGAUUUGGAGUUAAAUGGGUUGGAGUCUGGAAACGGGGACGAGGAACAGUAGACCGAGAGCCCCAGCGCUUGGGCAGCAGACGUUCUGUCCUCACCAGCCCUGCGGCCAGUGGGGUCAGCCUGGAUUAUGAUGCACUGGGCAAAACCUGCCGAAGUCUUCCAAGUCUGAAGAGAACUUUGUCUGGGGACUCAUCCUCUGACUCUAGCCAGGGUUCCCAGAAUGGCCAAGUGUGGGAUUCCCAGUGUAGCCCCCGAAAGGACAGACAGGUGCACCUGACCCAUUUUGAGCUUGAAGGCCUCUGUUGCCUUGUAGAUAAAUUGGAAUCUCUGCCACUGCACAAGAAAUGCAUCCCUACAGGGAUAGAAGAAGAAGACGCUCUCACUGCUGAUGCGAAGGUAAGCAUUCGUUGUGUUGCAUAAUGGCUGCUAAUCUGGCUAGGACAGUCAGUUUUUGGAUUCUGAGAGAAAAUUCGGGAGUUUCGGGUGAUCUUGGUUCAACCAGAAAGAAGAGUGUGUGUGUAUUUGGGCUGUACAGUGUUUCAGUUCCUAGAAUGAGGUUAGGUCCCUAUUAGGAAAAUGCGAACAUUUGUAUGUUCAGUGAGGAUUUAAAUCUAAUCUUAAAAAUGCAGAUUACAGGCUGACCCUAGAAAAAGGGUGAGCCUGAGAAAAAUGUUUAUAUUAAGAAAUGUUACUUAGAACUUGUUACACUCUGAUAAAGAGGCCUAUUUCAGAACAAAAAUGGCCAGUAAAAUCUCUAGCAGUCUUAUCCCAAGCACAUUUGUUGUUGUUGUUGUUCAGUUGCUAAGUUGUGUUCAACUCUUUACAACCCCAUGGGCUGCAGCAUGCCAGACUCCCCUGUCCUUCACUGCCUCCUGGAGUUUGCUCAAGCUCAUGUCCAUUGAGUCGGUGAUGCCAUCCAACCAUUUCAUCCUCUGUCACCCCCUUCUAACUCUUGCCCUCAAAACUCCAAUACUUUGGCUACCUAAUGCAAAGAGCUGACUCAUUUUAAAAGACCCUGAUGCUGGGAAAGAUUGAAGGCAGGAGGAGAAGGGGAUGACAGAGGAUGAGAUGGUUGGAUGGCAUCACCGACUCAAUGGACAUGCAUUUGGGUAAACUCCAGGAGUUGGCGAUCGACAGGGAGGCCUGGCGUGCUGCAGUCCAUGGGGUUGCAAAGAGUCGGACACUACUGAGUGACUGAACUGAACUGAGCUUCAAAUUUAUCUACAUUAAGACUUAAAUACAUUGGGGCAAUUUCUGAGAAAAGUGUCAUUUUAAAUGUAAUUCAUCUUACUGCCAAAUUGAGUUUCUUCACGUUGUAUAUUUUUUUCUUCUUUCUCAGUAAGUCUCCCAGCAUUCAGUUCAGUUCAGUUCAGGCACUCAGUCGUGUUUGGCUCUUUGCGACCCCAUGGACUUGCAGCACACCAGGCCUCCCUGUCCAUCACCAACUCCCUGAGCUUACUCAAACUCAUGUCCAUUGAGUUGUGAUGCCGUCCAACCAUCUCAUCCUCUGUCAUCCCCUACUCCUCCCACCUUCAAUCUUUUCCAGCAUCACGGUCUUUCUCAAAUGAGUCAGUUCUUCACAUCCGGUGGCCAAAGUAUUGGAGUCUCAGCUUCAGCAUCAGUCCUUCCAAUGAAUAUUCAGGUCUGAUUUCCUUUAGAAUGGACUGGUUGGGUCUCCUUGGUGUCCAGGGGACUCUCAAGAGUCUUCUCCAACACCACAGUUCAAAAGCAUCAAUUAUUCAGCACUCAGCUUUCUUUAUAGUCCAACUCUCACAUCCGUACAUGACUACUGGAAAAACCAUAGCCUUGACUAGACGGACCUUUGUUGGCAAAGUAAUAUGUCUGCUUUUUAAUGCUUAGUAAUCUUAAAAGCCCAACCCACUCCUCAUAUAUUGGUCUCAAAGAAUUGAAUUUAUUUUUAGGGAAUCCAGAUUUGAACUGUCUGAACUGGAAAGAGUUCGAGUAAAUCUUUCCUCAUAUAUCUCAUAUGAAACCACUGGGGACUACCCCAGAGGUCCAGUAGUUUAGACUGAGCUUCCGCUGCAGGAGACAUGGGUUCAGUCCCUGGUCAGAGAACUAAGAUCCCACAUGCCACCCGGUGUAGCUAAAAAAAAAAACGUAACCGUUAAUACAAACACAAACAAGUCUUUAAAUCACUGUUUGGAAUUAUGUCUUCAGAGCAGCGCAUGGGUAUGUGUAUUAGAAAGCUGGUUAACCGUUUGUAACGUGUUAUUUUUAAAACCUUUUGUAUAGAUUGUUUUAAGCCACAGAAGAAUUUAUAAGGAAUAAUUUUAUGUGACCUUAAGGACCUUGGUUAAUUCACUUGAACUUUCUGAGUCUCAGUACCUUUGUUUAUUGAGGCUAUUUCCCAGAAUUAU